AGAAAACUAAAAUAAUAAAAAAUCAUAAUAUUAAGGUCUUGGCUGAUUUCAUGUAAACAUGAAACAAAUAAAUAAGUGAACAUGUAAUCGACAUGCAAAGUGAAGGAAGUAACCCAAGGAAACACUUAAACGAUCAUACAAGUUGAGAACAUCCACAAAAGGUAGUCAAGAUGGAACAAAAAAGACAAGAGCACUUAUUGCAGCAAACUGUAUGUACGAACAAUGAAUGAAAGAAAAACCGAUCAACAUAAUUUUAUAUGCUUGAAAAAUUUCUAAGGAACUAGUUGGAAACAAACAUGGGUAAUUUAACAGAGAACUUACAACGGCAACAUAUAGGGCAAUUGUAAACACCAGAAGGUAAAAACAGUAUCCUUGCAGUGACACCAAACCAUGACGAAAAUUAAAUCGAACGAAUAUUGUAUUAACUUGAUAGCAUUUCGAUGUCGGUUAAUAACAACAAGUGACACAUGAGUUUCCUAUUUUAUAACAUUUCAAAAGCACGUGAUGUCAAUAUUAACAAUAACACAGAUUCAAAAGAAGAAACACAACAAUAUAACACUUAAACGGGCCUCCAAAACUGGAGUCCAACUCAGGAAAACAAACAAAAUAUAAACUUCAUGUUAAAAUAACAUCAUCCUACUGGUAACUCAGAGAUGAACAAAUACAAGACAGAGG
Molecule: unclassified non-coding RNA, 675 nt
Filed under: Hevea brasiliensis (rubber tree)
Lineage: Eukaryota; Viridiplantae; Streptophyta; Magnoliopsida; Malpighiales; Euphorbiaceae
Source: RNAcentral